Molecule: ribosomal RNA, 496 nt
Filed under: uncultured bacterium
Lineage: Bacteria
Description: bacterial SSU rRNA
Rfam family: Bacterial small subunit ribosomal RNA
Source: RNAcentral
AGUUUGAUCAUGGCUCAGGAUGAACGCUAGCGGCAGGCUUAACACAUGCAAGUCGAGGGGUAUUGGUUUUCGGACCAAGAGACCGGCGCACGGGUGCGUAACGCGUAUGUAAUCUACCUUUUGCAGAGGGAUAGCCCAGAGAAAUUUGGAUUAAUACCUCAUAGUAUAGUACUUUGGCAUCAAGGAACUAUUAAAGUCACAACGGCAAAAGAUGAGCAUGCGUCCCAUUAGCUAGUUGGUAAGAUAACGGCUUACCAAGGCUACGAUGGGUAGGGGUCCUGAGAGGGAGAUCCCCCACACUGGUACUGAGACACGGACCAGACUCCUACGGGAGGCAGCAGUGAGGAAUAUUGGACAAUGGGCGCAAGCCUGAUCCAGCCAUGCCGCGUGCAGGAAUAAGGUCCUAUGGAUUGUAAACUGCUUUUAUACAGGAAGAAACACACCCUCGUGAGGGUACUUGACGGUACUGUAUGAAUAAGGACCGGCUAACUCCGUG